RNAcentral lists this ribosomal RNA (529 nucleotides) under Bacillus licheniformis. Its description in RNAcentral is "bacterial SSU rRNA". It matches the Rfam family "Bacterial small subunit ribosomal RNA", at positions 107 to 620 of the family's 1533-position model. Lineage: Bacteria; Bacillati; Bacillota; Bacilli; Caryophanales; Bacillaceae. The record is from RNAcentral.
UGAGUAACACGUGGGUAACCUGCCUGUAAGACUGGGAUAACUCCGGGAAACCGGGGCUAAUACCGGAUGCUUGAUUGAACCGCAUGGUUCAAUCAUAAAAGGUGGCUUUUAGCUACCACUUACAGAUGGACCCGCGGCGCAUUAGCUAGUUGGUGAGGUAACGGCUCACCAAGGCGACGAUGCGUAGCCGACCUGAGAGGGUGAUCGGCCACACUGGGACUGAAACACGGCCCAGACUCCUACGGGAGGCAGCAGUAGGGAAUCUUCCGCAAUGGACGAAAGUCUGACGGAGCAACGCCGCGUGAGUGAUGAAGGUUUUCGGAUCGUAAAACUCUGUUGUUAGGGAAGAACAAGUACCGUUCGAAUAGGGCGGCACCUUGACGGUACCUAACCAAAAAGCCACGGCUAACUACGUGCCAGCAGCCGGGGUAAUACGUAGGUGGCAAGCGUUGUCCGGAAUUAUUGGGCGUAAAGCGCGCGCAGGCGGUUUCUUAAGUCUGAUGUGAAAGCCCCCGGCUCAACCGGGGAG